RCCCGCUGAAUUUAAGCAUAUAACUAAGCG
This 30-nucleotide ribosomal RNA is filed under the name Utriculidium durvillei. RNAcentral's name for it is "partial nuclear ribosomal large subunit". Lineage: Eukaryota; Phaeophyceae; Ectocarpales; Adenocystaceae. The record is from RNAcentral.